CAAUAGCGUAUAUUAAAGUUGUUGCGGUUAAAAAGCUCGUAGUUGGAUUUCUGCUGAGAACGACCGGUCCGCCCUUUGGGUGUGUAUCUGGCUCUUUCUUGGCAUCUUCUUGGUGAACGUUGCUGCACUUGACUGUGUGGAGCGCUACCCAGGACUUUUACUUUGAGGAAAUUAGAGUGUUUCAAGCAGGCAUACGCCUUGAAUACAUUAGCAUGGAAUAAUAAGAUAGGACCUCGGUUCUAUUUUGUUGGUUUCUAGAGCUGAGGUAAUGAUUAUUAGGGAUAGUUGGGGGCAUUCGUAUUUAACUGUCAGAGGUGAAAUUCUUGGAUUUGUUAAAGACGGACUACUGCGAANGNAUUUGCNAAGGAUGUUUNCAUUG
RNAcentral lists this ribosomal RNA (379 nucleotides) under uncultured eukaryote. Its description in RNAcentral is "partial 18S ribosomal RNA". It matches the Rfam family "Eukaryotic small subunit ribosomal RNA", at positions 592 to 975 of the family's 1831-position model. The record is from RNAcentral.